GAUGAACGCUGGCGGCGUGCCUAAUACAUGCAAGUCGAGCGAACAGAUGAGGAGCUUGCUCCUCUUACGUUAGCGGCGGACGGGUGAGUAACACGUGGAUAACCUACCUAUAAGACUGGGAUAACUUCGGGAAACCGGAGCUAAUACCGGAUAAUAUAUUGAACCGCAUGGUUCAAUAGUGAAAGACGGUUUUGCUGUCACUUAUAGAUGGAUCCGCGCCGCAUUAGCUAGUUGGUAAGGUAACGGCUUACCAAGGCAACGAUGCGUAGCCGACCUGAGAGGGUGAUCGGCCACACUGGAACUGAGACACGGUCCAGACUCCUACGGGAGGCAGCAGUAGGGAAGCUGCCGAAAUGGGCGAAAGCCUGACGGAGCAACGCCGCGUGAGUGAUGAAGGUCUUCGGAUCGUAAAACUCUGUUAUUAGGGAAGAACAAAUGUGUAAGUAACUAUGCACGUCUUGACGGUACCUAAUCAGAAAGCCACGGCUAACUACGUG
Molecule: ribosomal RNA, 497 nt
Filed under: uncultured bacterium
Lineage: Bacteria
Description: partial 16S ribosomal RNA
Rfam family: Bacterial small subunit ribosomal RNA
Source: RNAcentral